RNAcentral lists this ribosomal RNA (364 nucleotides) under uncultured organism. RNAcentral's name for it is "bacterial SSU rRNA". It matches the Rfam family "Bacterial small subunit ribosomal RNA", at positions 526 to 896 of the family's 1533-position model. The record is from RNAcentral.
CGGAGGAUCCAAGCGUUAUCCGGAAUCAUUGGGUUUAAAGGGUCCGUAGGCGGUUUAUUAAGUCAGUGGUGAAAUCUGGUCGCUCAACGAUCAAACGGCCAUUGAUACUGAUAGACUUGAAUUAUUGGGAAGUAACUAGAAUAUGUAGUGUAGCGGUGAAAUGCUUAGAUAUUACAUGGAAUACCAAUUGCGAAGGCAGGUUACUACCAAUGGAUUGACGCUGAUGGACGAAAGCGUGGGGAGCGAACAGGAUUAGAUACCCUGGUAGUCCACGCCGUAAACGAUGGAUACUAGCUGUUCGGAGCAAUCUGAGUGGCUAAGCGAAAGUGAUAAGUAUCCCACUGGGGAUACGUUCGCAAGAAUG